This 440-nucleotide ribosomal RNA is filed under the name uncultured bacterium. Its description in RNAcentral is "partial 16S ribosomal RNA". It matches the Rfam family "Bacterial small subunit ribosomal RNA", at positions 338 to 795 of the family's 1533-position model. The record is from RNAcentral.
CCUACGGGUAGCAGCAGUGGGGAAUAUUGCACAAUGGGGGAAACCCUGAUGCAGCGACGCCGCGUGAGUGAAGAAGUUUUUCGGUAUGUAAAGCUCUAUCAGCAGGGAAGAUAAUGACGGUAGCUGACUAAGAAUCCCCGGCUAACUACGUGGCAGCAGCCGCGGUAAUACGUAGGGGGCAAGCGUUAUCCGGAGUUACUGGGGGUAAAGGGUGCGUAGGUGGUAGGGCAAGUCAGCUGUGAAAGCCCGGGGCUCAACCCCGGUGCUGCAUUUUAAACUGUCCAGCUGGAGUGCAGGAGAGGUAAGCGGAAUUCCUAGUGUAGCGGUGGAAUGCGUAGAUAUUAGGAGGAACACCAGUGGCGAAGGCGGCUUACUGGACUGUAACUGACACUGAGGCACGAAAGCGUGGGGAGCAAACAGGAUUAGAUACCCGUGUAGUC